This 427-nucleotide ribosomal RNA is filed under the name uncultured bacterium. RNAcentral describes it as "bacterial SSU rRNA". It matches the Rfam family "Bacterial small subunit ribosomal RNA", at positions 355 to 774 of the family's 1533-position model. The record is from RNAcentral.
UGGGGAAUUUUGGACAAUGGGCGAAAGCCUGAUCCAGCCAUGCCGCGUGAGUGAAGAAGGCCUUCGGGUUGUAAAGCUCUUUUAGUCGGAAAGAAAGAGUUGCAAUGAAUAAUUGUGAUUUAUGACGGUACCGACAGAAAAAGCACCGGCUAACUACGUGCCAGCAGCCGCGGUAAUACGUAGGGUGCGAGCGUUAAUCGGAAUUACUGGGCGUAAAGGGUGCGCAGGCGGUCUUGCAAGUCAGAUGUGAAAGCCCCGGGCUUAACCUUGGAAUUGCGUUUGAAACUACAAGGCUAGAGUGCAGCAGAGGGGAGUGGAAUUCCAUGUGUAGCAGUGAAAUGCGUAGAGAUGUGGAAAAACACCGAUGGCGAAGGCAGCUCCCUGGGUUGACACUGACGCUCAUGCACGAAAGCGUGGGGAGCAAACA